Molecule: ribosomal RNA, 440 nt
Filed under: uncultured bacterium
Lineage: Bacteria
Description: partial 16S ribosomal RNA
Rfam family: Bacterial small subunit ribosomal RNA
Source: RNAcentral
UGGGGAAUAUUGCACAAUGGGCGCAAGCCUGAUGCAGCCAUGCCGCGUGUGUGAAGAAGGCCUUCGGGUUGUAAAGCACUUUCAGCGAGGAGGAAGGGUAGUGUGUUAAUAGCACAUUGCAUUGACGUUACUCGCAGAAGAAGCACCGGCUAACUCCGUGCCAGCAGCCGCGGUAAUACGGAGGGUGCAAGCGUUAAUCGGAAUUACUGGGCGUAAAGCGCACGCAGGCGGUUUGUUAAGUCAGAUGUGAAGUCCCCGCGCUUAACGUGGGAACUGCAUUUGAAACUGGCAAGCUAGAGUCUUGUAGAGGGGGGUAGAAUUCCAGGUGUAGCGGUGAAAUGCGUAGAGAUCUGGAGGAAUACCGGUGGCGAAGGCGGCCCCCUGGACAAAGACUGACGCUCAGGUGCGAAAGCGUGGGGAGCAAAACAGGAUUAGAUACC